GAAGCACAGUUUUCCUGGCUGAGCCUCUGAUUGGUGCACGGCCAAGAACUGUUUCUUGUCCAACCGGAAGUGUUUCAGAAGGAGUGCUUCAAAUCUUGUCCUUUUUGGGAGGGAUGUUUCUUUCCAGUAUCUUUUAUAUCACAAGGAUAUAUUUCGAUUUGCACCGCUUUCCCCCUCACCCCCGUUCACAAAUUUUCAUUAGAACAAUUGAUUUUGAUUCAUUGUCUUUUUUUCCUCCUCCCAGUACGGUUUAUGGCCAGAAAGAUAUAUUUCGAUUUGCAGUGCUUCCCAAAGCUCCGGCUUACAAUUUUUAUUAAAACGGUUUAACUCCGUUCACUGCCUUUCCCCACAACUACGUUGUUCCAGUAGAACGAUAUAUUUCCAUUUGCACCGCCUCCUCUCCUUUACAAUCUUUCAUUAAAACUAUUUAUUUUCAGUGUCUUCCCCAUUACGUUUUUUCAUCAAAACGACUUAUUUCUAUUUGGGCCCUUACCCUCCUUUUACAAAUUUUCAUUAGAAUGGUUUAUUUUAGUUCUUUGUGACUUGGGGGGGGGGAAAUUAUUUCCCUCCUGUUAUGAUUCUUCAUAGAUCGAUUUACUUAGGUUUGUUGACUUUUUUUGUUUCUUUUCCCCCCAGUAAUGCUUAUCAUCAGAACGAUAUAUUUCUGUUCUGAUUUGCACCGCUUUUCCCCGCUGUUUACAAUAUCUCACUGCAAGGAUUCUUCUCGGGUGUAUCACGGUUUUUUUCCACCACCACGGUAUUUCGAUUUCAUCAUUCACUCACCACACACCCCAUUUACAAGUUUUCAUCAUAUCGAUUUAUUUCACUUUGUCGUGCCCUUUUCUGGGGUUUCUUUUCCCCCCAUUAAUGCUUAUCAUCAGAAGGAUAUGUUUAUAUAUGCGCGCGCGCUUGCACACACACACACACACGCACACACACCGGUCUUAUAG
This 950-nucleotide long non-coding RNA is filed under the name Sus scrofa (pig). Its description in RNAcentral is "lncRNA (ENSSSCG00035070702.1)". Lineage: Eukaryota; Metazoa; Chordata; Mammalia; Artiodactyla; Suidae. The record is from RNAcentral.